This 213-nucleotide ribosomal RNA is filed under the name uncultured bacterium. RNAcentral's name for it is "partial 16S ribosomal RNA". It matches the Rfam family "Bacterial small subunit ribosomal RNA", at positions 1288 to 1500 of the family's 1533-position model. The record is from RNAcentral.
UCAGUUCAGAUUGCAGGCUGCAACUCGCCUGCAUGAAGUCGGAAUUGCUAGUAAUCGUAGGUCAGCAUACUACGGUGAAUACGUUCCCGGGCCUUGUACACACCGCCCGUCAAACCAUGAGAGUUGGCAACACCCGAAGUCGGUAGUCUAACCGCAAGGAGGACGCCGCCGAAGGUGGGGUUGAUGAUUAGGGUUAAGUCGUAACAAGGUAGC